CCCCCUUUUGACAAAAAAAAAGAAACAAAACACAUAACGAUAACUGUAUUAAUGAAUGAAAGGAAAAUUAUGAAAGAAAUCGAUAUGACCAAACAGAUAAGUUGUUCAUUUCAAAAACUCAGCGGCCGGUAACAAUAUGCACGAAAUGAAUCUUUUCUCAACUUUAUUAAAGUACGAUGAUCUACGAUGUCAACAAGUCAAUCUCAUGAUGUUGAUGCAGGCCUUAAACUGUUAGUUUACCAAGUAAAGCCUGGUUUGGUAUAACGUUGAUAUGGUUUCAACAUACUGCCUGACUUUCCUGACAUUAAGAUAAACAAAAUUUAUACAAAGUCUACAAAGAAGAAAAGAUUCCAACUUUUACUGACAUUUUACGUUGACAUUUUCGGCGCCGGAAAUUGACAACGUUUAUCUAUGUAUUGACACAACAUCGGAUGGGGUCGAUUCCGGCAUAUUCUGUUAAAAAAAAUCAGUAGCACUUAAAAUUUAAUGAUGUUUUAAAAUAUAUUCAUUUUGUUUCAAUGAUAUUUAGUUGAUAAUUAAUUUAGAGAGAUGAAUAGCUAUCGUGUACUUCAGAAACAAGGGGAAAGGAGGACCACGCCCCCAUAGUGGGGACAUACAAAAUAAAGAUGACCGUUCUCCAUUUCUACUCGAUAGAAGUGCCUAAUUUUUUUAUAACAUCUGUAUUAUGUACCAAAGAUUAUAAAAUGCAAGUAUAAAAAAAAUCGAGGCGGAGAUUUUUUAGAAUCAGCUAAUAAUUAUAGCAGACCAAUAAACGUAAUAGACAAAUAGGCGAAAAUGGCGCCUUCUUCAAUUUCGAAAAAAGGCUAUAAUUUUACAAUUUAUUGACACAUAUUGAUAUUUUUAUAGGGGUUACAUAUAUAAGGAUUCAGCUAUUCUUGAUAGUUGAAUGAAUAUUUACUUUAAAAACAGAAUCUUUCCAAAUUUCUAAUUCUACCGGCCAUGCUAGGAAAAACUUAUAAAAAAUUGAGACCCCUACUUUAAAAUGGGUACAAUUUUUUGCCCUACUUUGGACACCCCUUUUCUUUACGGAUUUCGAUGUGAAAAACUAGCAAAAUUACGAUGUAAAAAAAUCGAGAUAAUUGAAGGAUAGGCUUUUUUUUGUACCCCUUUUUAAUAUCGCUAUUUAAUUCUAUAGUGCAGAAAAUCGAAAUCCGAAAUUC
Molecule: long non-coding RNA, 1181 nt
Filed under: Mytilus galloprovincialis (Mediterranean mussel)
Lineage: Eukaryota; Metazoa; Mollusca; Bivalvia; Mytilida; Mytilidae
Source: RNAcentral